Molecule: ribosomal RNA, 1447 nt
Filed under: metagenome
Description: SSU rRNA
Rfam family: Eukaryotic small subunit ribosomal RNA
Source: RNAcentral
GGUUAAAUGCCAACCAAGGUGGUAACGGGUGACGGGGAAUCAGGGUUCGAUACCGGAGAGGGAGCCUGAGAAACGGCUACCACAUCCAAGGAAGGCAGCAGGCACGCAAAUUACCCACUCCCGGCUCGGGGAGGUAGUGACGAAAAAUAACAAUACGAGACUCAUCCGAGGCUUCGUAAUUGGAAUGGGUACACUUUAAAUCCUUUAACGAGGAUCUAUUGGAGGGCAAGUCUGGUGCCAGCAGCCGCGGUAAUUCCAGCUCCAAUAGCGUAUAUUAAAGUUGCUGCGGUUAAAAAGCUCGUAGUUGGAUCUCAGUCUCGGUCGGACGGUCCACUUCACGGUGGUACUGUUCGAAUCGGACAUUUGGCCGCCUUUCUCAGUAUGCUCUUCACUGAGUGUAUUGGGAGAGUGGCACGUUUACUUUGAAAAAAUUAGAGUGCUCAAAUCAGGCAAUUGCCUGAAUCUUCGUGCAUGGAAUGAUGGAAUAGGGCCUCGGUUCUAUUUUGUUGGUUUCCGGAACUCGAGGUAAUGAUUAAGAGGGACGGACGGGGGCAUUCGUAUUGCGACGUUAGAGGUGAAAUUCUUAGAUCGUCGCAAGACGAACUACUGCGAAAGCAUUUGCCAAGAAUGUUUUCAUUAAUCAAGAACGAAAGUCAGAGGUUCGAAGGCGAUCAGAUACCACCCUAGUUCUGACCUUAAACGAUGCUAUCUGGCGAUCCGUCGGUGUUAAUUCCAAUGACCCGACGGGCAGCUUCCGGGAAACCAAAGUGUUCAAGUUCCGGGGGAAGUAUGGUUGCAAAACUGGAACUUAAAGGAAUUGACGGAAGGGCACCACCAGGAGUGGAGCCUGUGGCUUAAUUUGACAACACGGGAAAUCUCACCAGGCCCGGACACUGGCAGGAUUGACAGAUUGAUAGCUCUUUCUUGAUUCAGUGGGUGGUGGUGCAUGGCCGUUCUUAGUUGGUGGAGUGAUUUGUCUGGUUAAUUCCGAUAACGAACGAGACCCCGUCCUACUUACUAGACUGAGGAUUCUUUUGUCCUCAGAAUCUUCUUAGAGGGACAACUGGCGUUUAUCUAGCUACAUGAAAUGGGGCAAUAACAGGUCUGUGAUGCCCUUAGAUGUUCUGGGCCGCACACGCGCUACACUGAAAGGAUCAUCGUGUUUGUCCUAGCCUGAAAAGGCCGGGAAAUCCGUUGAAAUCUCUUCGUGCUAGGGAUUGAGGCUUGCAAUUUUUUCUCAUGAACGAGGAAUUCCCAGUAAGUGCGAGUCAUAAGCUCGCGCUGAUUACGUCCCUGCCCUUUGUACACACCGCCCGUCGCUACUACCGAUUGGAUGAUUUAGUGAGGCCUUCGGACUGGCUGCUAGUGGGGCACUUGUGUCCUGCUGGUGGAUCGGGAAGAUGUUCAAACUGUAUCAUCUAGAGGAAGUAAAAGUCGUAACAAGGUU